UAGUCUGUAGCUCAUCACUGUAUUGCAUCACCAUCUGAUUUUGGAUGUCAGUCAGUUCGCUUCUGCUAUCCUCAAUUCUUUGUGUAAUGUUCUUAAAUUCUCUAACAUUUAGAGAUUUAUGACCAGGUUUGAGUGUCUUGAGGUUGAUCCAGACCUCCUUGAGAGUAUCUUGUGCAGUGCUUUUCCAGUGUUCCUUGACAAUGCACUGAAAGUCUUUAUGAUUAGUCCAUGCAUUGCAAAAUCUGAAGGGGUUUUUCCUGAGCCUGUGAUCU
This 272-nucleotide long non-coding RNA is filed under the name Nicotiana benthamiana. RNAcentral's name for it is "long non-coding RNA (NBEN_LNC027922)". The record is from RNAcentral. Lineage: Eukaryota; Viridiplantae; Streptophyta; Magnoliopsida; Solanales; Solanaceae.